AUUCUUGGUCAUUUAGAGGAAGUAAAAGUCGUAACAAGGUUUCCGUAGGUGAACCUGCGGAAGGAUCAUUAUUGAAUGAAUUUGGUGUGGUUGUCGCUGGCCCUCUUGGGGGUAUGUGCACACCUCCCAUCCUCAUCUCUCCACCUGUGCACCUCUUGUAGAUUUGGAAUUGAUCAUCCGAGGCAACUCGGUCGUGAGGACUGCUAGCACUUAGUUGGCUUUCUUUGCAAUUCCAGGUCUAUGUUUUUCAUAUACCCCAUUGUAUGUAACAGAAUGUAUCAUUGGGCCCUUGUCCCUAUAAACCUUAUACAACUUUCAGCAACGGAUCUCUUGGCUCUCGCAUCGAUGAAGAACGCAGCGAAAUGCGAUAAGUAAUGUGAAUUGCAGAAUUCAGUGAAUCAUCGAAUCUUUGAACGCACCUUGCGCUCCUUGGUAUUCCGAGGAGCAUGCCUGUUUGAGUGUCAUUAAAUUCUCAACCAUAUCAACUUUUGCUGAUAAUGGCUUGGAUGUGGGGGUCUAUUUUGCUGGCUUCUCAGAUAGUCAGCUCCCCUUAAAUGCAUUAGCCGGUGCCCCGCGUGGACUGUCUAUUGGUGUGAUAAUUAUCUACGCUAUAGACAUCUGCAAUUAUAUGGGUUUGCACUGCUUCUAACAGUCUGUUAAUUCAGACAAUACAUGACAAUUUGACCUCAAAUCAGGUAGGACUACCCGCUGAACUUAAGCAUAUCAAUAAGCGGAGGAAAAGAAACUAACAAGGAUUCCCCUAGUAACUGCGAGUGAAGCGGGAAAAGCUCAAAUUUAAAAUCUGGCGGUCUCUGGCCGUCCGAGUUGUAAUCUAGAGAAGUGUUAUCCGCGCUGGACCGUGUACAAGUCUCCUGAAAUGGAGCGUCAUAGAGGGUGAGAAUCCCGUCUUUGACACGGACUGCCAGGGCUUUGUGAUGCGCUCUCAAAGAGUCGAGUUGUUUGGGAAUGCAGCUCAAAAUGGGUGGUAAAUUCCAUCUAAAGCUAAAUAUUGGCGAGAGACCGAUAGCGAACAGUACCGUGAGGGAAAGAUGAAAGAAUC
This 1060-nucleotide ribosomal RNA is filed under the name uncultured Hebeloma. RNAcentral's name for it is "eukaryotic LSU rRNA". The stretch from base 682 to 1060 matches the Rfam family "Eukaryotic large subunit ribosomal RNA", at positions 1 to 375 of the family's 3401-position model. Lineage: Eukaryota; Fungi; Basidiomycota; Agaricomycetes; Agaricales; Cortinariaceae. The record is from RNAcentral.